GACCUGAUGGUGUAAGGGUAACACACCUACCAUGAACAAGGUAAUUGUGUUUACGUGGGAAUUCUCUGUUCAAAUCGAGGUCAGGUCG
Non-coding RNA from Mycena metata, 88 nucleotides. Lineage: Eukaryota; Fungi; Basidiomycota; Agaricomycetes; Agaricales; Mycenaceae. The record is from the annotation of a GenBank genome assembly.